GCUUGACUGUAUCUUGGAAUUGGGUUCGGGCUUUUCUUGCGCAGACUAGGUGGGAGGCUAUGAAGAUUUUCUUCUGGGAAAGUUGGAGCCAACAGUGAGAGACCACUCUGGAAAGGCUAGAAUCCUAAUGGUGAUCCUUGAAUCAGGACACUUGACAGUUUCAGGUGGGCAGUUUUUCUGGGCGGAAGCCUCAUAAAAGGUAACUGAGGCGCGCAAAGGUCCCCUCAGUCUGGACGGAAAUCAGACAUUGAGUGUAAAGGCAAAAGGGGGCUUGACUGCAAGACCCACAAGUCGAGCAGGGGCGAAAGCUGGCCUUAGUGAUCCGACGGUGCCGUGUGGAAGGCCGUCGCUCAACGAAUAAAAGUUA
RNAcentral lists this ribosomal RNA (367 nucleotides) under uncultured alga. RNAcentral's name for it is "bacterial LSU rRNA". It matches the Rfam family "Bacterial large subunit ribosomal RNA", at positions 2098 to 2465 of the family's 2925-position model. The record is from RNAcentral.